UACGGAGGGUGCAAGCGUUGUCCGGAUUUAUUGGGUUUAAAGGGUGCGUAGGCGGACCGAUAAGUCAGUGGUGAAAGCCCGCGGCUCAACCGCGGAAUUGCCAUAGAUACUGUCGGUCUUGAGUUCGUCCGAGGUGGCUGGAACGCGUAGUGUAGCGGUGAAAUGCUUAGAUAUUACGCAGAACACCGAUUGCGAAGGCAGGUCACUGGGGCGCGACUGACGCUGAGGCACGAAAGUGCGGGGAUCAAACAGG
This 253-nucleotide ribosomal RNA is filed under the name uncultured bacterium. RNAcentral's name for it is "partial 16S ribosomal RNA". It matches the Rfam family "Bacterial small subunit ribosomal RNA", at positions 524 to 776 of the family's 1533-position model. The record is from RNAcentral.